UACGGAGGAUCCGAGCGUUAUCCGGAUUCAUUGGGUUUAAAGGGUGCGUAGGCUGUAAGGUAAGUCAGCGGUGAAAUGCCCCCGCUCAACGGGGUGAAGUGCCAUUGAUACUGCCUUGCUGGAAUGCGGAUGCCGUGGGAGGAAUGUGUGGUGUAGCGGUGAAAUGCAUAGAUAUCACACAGAACACCGAUUGCGAAGGCAUCUCACGAAUCCGCGAUUGACGCUGAUGCACGAAAGCGUGGGUAUCAAACAGGA
Molecule: ribosomal RNA, 255 nt
Filed under: uncultured bacterium
Lineage: Bacteria
Description: partial 16S ribosomal RNA
Rfam family: Bacterial small subunit ribosomal RNA
Source: RNAcentral